Molecule: transfer RNA, 64 nt
Filed under: Berthellina sp. TLT-2006
Lineage: Eukaryota; Metazoa; Mollusca; Gastropoda; Pleurobranchida; Pleurobranchidae
Description: tRNA-Arg
Source: RNAcentral
GACUUGAAAGCGAUUAUCGCCCUAAGUUUCGGCCUUAGUCUUGGAAUUAUUUAUCCUCAAGUUA